CCAAAAAAUAUAGUAACGAAGCCCGUGAGCCAUGCGUCAAGAAAAGCCGCUAUUGUUUAUAUUGUACCCGUACCGUAAACCGACACAGGUGGAUGAGGAGAGAAUCCUAAGGCCGGCGGAAGAAGUAUUGCCAAGGAACUCGGCAAAAUGGCCCCGUAACUUAGGGAGAAGGGGUGCCUGCGAGAGCAGGCCGCAGAGAAUAGGCUCAAGCAACUGUUUAGCAAAAACACAGGUCUAUGCGAAACCGAAAGGUGAGGUAUAUGGGCUGACGCCUGCCCGGUGCUGGAAGGUUAAGAGGAGAGGUUAGACGCAAGUCGAAGCUUUGAAUUUAAGCCCCAGUAAACGGCGGCCGUAACAAUAACGGUCCUAAGGUAGCGAAAUUCCUUGUCGGGUAAGUUCCGACCCGCACGAAAGGCGUAAUGAUUUGAGCGCUGUCUCGGCAAUACAUCCGGUGAAAUUGAAGUGCCAGUGAAGAUGCUGGCUACCCGCGCCAGGACGGAAAGACCCCAUGGAGCUUUACUCCAGUUUGGCACUGGGGUCCGGUGCUGCAUGUACAGGACAGGUGGGAGGCUGAGAGAUAGUGACGUCAGUUGCUAUGGAGCCGCUGUUGGGAUACCACCCUUGUGACAUUGGGCUUCUAACCAGCCGCCGUGAACCGGCGGUGGGACAAUGCCAGGCGGGGAGUUUGACUGGGGCGGUCGCCUCCGAAAGGGUAUCGGAGGCGCCCAAAGGUUCCCUCAGAAUGGACGGAAACCAUUCGAAGAGUGCAAAGGCAGAAGGGAGCUUGACUGCGACACCGACGGGUGGAGCAGGUACGAAAGUAGGGCUUAGUGAUCCGGUGGUAUUAUGUGGGAAUGCCAUCGCUCAACGGAUAAAAGCUACCCCUGGGAUAACAGGCUUAUCACUCCCAAGAGUUCACAUCGACGGAGUGGUUUGGCACCUCGAUGUCGGCUCAUCGCCUCCUGGGGCUGUAGUAGGUCCCAAGGGUUGGGCUGUUCGCCCAUUAAAGCGGUACGCGAGCUGGGUUCAGAACGUCGUGAGACAGUUCGGUCCCUAUCCGGCGUGGGCGUAGGAUAUCUGAGAGGAGCUGUCCUUAGUACGAGAGGACCGGGAUGGACGGACCGCUGGUGGACCGGUUGGCUUGCCAAAGCCAUGGCCGGGUAGCCAAGUCCGGAAGGGAUAAACGCUGAAGGCAUCUAAGCGUGAAGCCCCCCUCAAGAUGAGAUAUCCCAUUCUUUAAGAAGUAAACCCCCUUGAAGACGACGAGGUAGAUAGGGCAGAGGUGGAAGUGUGGUAACACAUGGAGCUGACUGUUACUAAUCGGGUGAGGGCUUGACCAA
This 1340-nucleotide ribosomal RNA is filed under the name metagenome. RNAcentral's name for it is "bacterial LSU rRNA". It matches the Rfam family "Bacterial large subunit ribosomal RNA", at positions 1574 to 2925 of the family's 2925-position model. The record is from RNAcentral.